GCUUACGGCCAUACCAGCCUGGGUACGCCCGAUCUCGUCUGAUCUCGGAAGCGAAGCAGUGUCGGGCCUGGUUAGUACUUGGAUGGGAGACCGCCUGGGAAUACCAGGUGCUGUAAAGA
This 119-nucleotide ribosomal RNA is filed under the name Salmo salar (Atlantic salmon). The record is from RNAcentral. Lineage: Eukaryota; Metazoa; Chordata; Actinopteri; Salmoniformes; Salmonidae.